RNAcentral lists this transfer RNA (87 nucleotides) under Ancalomicrobiaceae bacterium. RNAcentral describes it as "tRNA-Leu". It matches the Rfam family "tRNA". Rfam says of the family: Transfer RNA (tRNA) molecules are approximately 80 nucleotides in length. Their secondary structure includes four short double-helical elements and three loops (D, anti-codon, and T loops). Further hydrogen bonds mediate the characteristic L-shaped molecular structure. tRNAs have two regions of fundamental functional importance: the anti-codon, which is responsible for specific mRNA codon recognition, and the 3' end, to which the tRNAs corresponding amino acid is attached (by aminoacyl-tRNA synthetases). tRNAs cope with the degeneracy of the genetic code in two manners: having more than one tRNA (with a specific anti-codon) for a particular amino acid; and 'wobble' base-pairing, i.e. permitting non-standard base-pairing at the 3rd anti-codon position. The record is from RNAcentral. Lineage: Bacteria; Pseudomonadati; Pseudomonadota; Alphaproteobacteria; Hyphomicrobiales; Ancalomicrobiaceae.
GCGGCCAUGGCGGAAUUGGUAGACGCGCUAGCUUGAGGUGCUAGUUCCCUAACCGGAGUGGAAGUUCGAGUCUUCUUGGCCGCACCA